RNAcentral lists this long non-coding RNA (217 nucleotides) under Elaeis guineensis (African oil palm). RNAcentral describes it as "long non-coding RNA (EGUI_LNC003153)". Lineage: Eukaryota; Viridiplantae; Streptophyta; Magnoliopsida; Arecales; Arecaceae. The record is from RNAcentral.
CGUGACUACGGCCAUGACACUAAAGACUGCAUCCAGCUUUAGGAUGAGAUAGAAAAACUUAUCUAAUGCAAUCGCUUGAUCGGUUCAUUCAGCAUUGACAGAACCAACCGAAAGAGCAGCAAAGUUUACCUGCUCGCUAGAACUGCAACAGAAGGAGCCUUCCGGAGACUGACCUUCUACGGAGGUGAUCAAUUCAAUAAUUGGAGGACCACGGGAA